Molecule: long non-coding RNA, 16881 nt
Filed under: Citrus x clementina
Lineage: Eukaryota; Viridiplantae; Streptophyta; Magnoliopsida; Sapindales; Rutaceae
Description: Citrus clementina (C. clementina) long non-coding RNA (CCLE_LNC005919)
Source: RNAcentral
GUGGUGCCAAAACCCCCCAGCGGAAAAAUGGCCAAAAAACGGGUGGGCUAUAGCCUUGGUGGGGGGCGCGGGCGAAGUUCGUCCGCCGGACUCGGAAUGUGGCGAGACUUUGCGAGGGGCCUCGGGGUGCCAAAAAUAAGCCGCGGGCAAAGCCGAGCCCAAAAAUAAGCGCCCGAAGGUCGUGGUGCCAAAACCCCCCAGCGGAAAAAUGGCCAAAAAACAGGUGGGCUAUAGCCUUGGUGGGGGGCGCGGGCGAAGUUCGUCCGCCGGACUCGGAAUGGGGCGAGACUUUGCGAGGGGCCUCGGGGUGCCCAAAAUAAGCCGCGGGCAAAGCCGCGCCCAAAAAUAAGCGCCCAAAGGUCGUGGUGCCAAAACCCCCCAGCGGAAAAAUGGCCAAAAAACGGGUGGGCUAUAGCCUUGGUGGGGGGCGCGGGCGAAGUUCGUCCGCCGGACUCGGAAUCGGGCGAGACUUUGUGAGGAGCCUCGGGGUGCCCGCGGGAAGUCGCGGGCACAGCCGCGUCCAGAAAUAAGCGCCCGAAGGUCGUGGUGCCAAAACCCCCAGCGGAAAAAUGGCCAAAAAACGGGUGGGCUACAGCCUUGGUGGGGGGCGCGGGCGAACUUCGUCCGCCGGACUCGGAAUGGGGCGAGACUUUGCGAGGGGCCUCGGGGUGGCAAAAAUAAGCCGCGGGCAAAGCCGCGCCCAAAAAUAAGCGCCCAAAGGUCGUGGUGCCAAAACCCCCCAGCGGAAAAAUGGCCAAAAAACGGGUGGGCUAUAGCCUUGGUGGGGGGCGCGGGCGAAGUUCGUCCACCGGACUCGGAAUGGGGCGAGACUUUUCGAGGGGCCUGGGAGCAUCAAAAAUAAGCCGCGGGCAAAGCCGCACCCAAAAAUAAGCGCCCGAAGGUCGUGGUGCCAAAACUCCCAGCGGAAAAAUGGGCCAAAAACGGGUGUGGCUAUGGCCUUGGUGGGGGGCGCGGGCGAAGUUUGUCCGCCGGACUUGGAAUGGGGCGAGACUUUGCGAGGGGCCUCGGGGUGCCAAAAAUAAGCCGCGGGCAAAGCCGCGCCCAAAAAUAAGCGCCCAAAGGUCGUGGUGCCAAAACCCCCCAGCGGAAAAAUGGCCAAAACACGGGUGGGCUAUAGCCUUGGUGGGGGGCGCGGGCGAAGUUCGUCCGCCGGACUCGGAAUGGGGCGAGACUUUGCGAGGGGCCUUGGGGUGCCCGCGGGAAGUCGCGGGCACAGCCGCGUCCAAAAAGAAGCGCCCGAAGGUCGUGGUGCCAAAACCCCCCAGCGGAAAAAUGGCCAAAAAACGGGCGGGCUAUAGCCUUGGUGGGGGGCGCGGGCGAAGUUCGUCCGCCGGACUCGGAAUGGGGCGAGACUUUGCGAGGGGCCUCGGGGUACCAAAAAUAAGCCGCGGGCAAAGCCGCGCCCAAAAAUAAGCGCCCGAAGGUCGUGGUGCCAAAACCCCCCAGCGGAAAAAUGGCCAAAAAACGGGUGGGCUAUAGCCUUGGUGGGGGCCGCGGGCGAAGUUCGUCCGCCGGACUCGGAAUGGGGCGAGACUUUUCGAGGGGCCUCGGGGUACCAAAAAUAAGCCGCGGGCAAAGCCGCGCCCAAAAAUAAGCGCCCGAAGGUCAUGGUGCCAAAACCCCCCAGCGGAAAAAUGGCCAAAAAACGGGUGGGCUAUAGCCUUGGUGGGGGGCGCGGGCGAAGUUCGUCCGCCGGACUCAGAAUGGGGCGAGACUUUGCGAGGGGCCUCGGGGUANNNNNNNNNNNNNNNNNNNNNNNNNNNNNNNNNNNNNNNNNNNNNNNNNNNNNNNNNNNNNNNNNNNNNNNNNNNNNNNNNNNNNNNNNNNNNNNNNNNNNNNNNNNNNNNNNNNNNNNNNNNNNNNNNNNNNNNNNNNNNNNNNNNNNNNNNNNNNNNNNNNNNNNNNNNNNNNNNNNNNNNNNNNNNNNNNNNNNNNNNNNNNNNNNNNNNNNNNNNNNNNNNNNNNNNNNNNNNNNNNNNNNNNNNNCAGCGGAAAAAUGGCCAAAAAACGGGUGGGCUAUAGCCUUGGUGGGGGGCGCGGGCGAAGUUCGUCCGCUGGACUCGGAAUGGGGCGAGACUUUGCGAGGGGCCUAGGGGUGCCAGAAAUAAUCCGCGGGCAAAGCCGCGCCCAAAAAUAAGCGCCCGAAGGUCGUGGUGCCAAAACCCCCCAGCGGAAAAAUGGCCAAAAAACGGGUGGGCUAUAGCCUUGGUGGGGGGCGUGGGCGAAGUUCGUCCGCCGGACUCGGAAUGGGGCGAGACUUUGCGAGGGGCGUCGGGGUGCCCCCAGGAAGUCGCGGGCACAGCCGCGUCCAAAAAUAAGCGCCCGAAGGUCGUGGUGCCAAAACCCCCCAGCGGAAAAAUGGCCAAAAAACGGGUGGGCUAUAGCCUUGGUGGGGGGCGCGGGCGAAGUUCGUCCGCCGGACUCGGAAUGGGGCGAGACUUUGCGAGGGGCCUCGGGGUGCCAAAAAUAAGCCGCGGGCAAAGCCGCGCCCAAAAAUAAGCGCCCGAAGGUCGUGGUGCGAAAACCCCCCAGCGGAAAAAUGGCCAAAAAACGGGUGGGCUAUAGCCUUGGUGGGGGGCGCGGGCGAAGUUCGUCCGCCGGACUCGGAAUGGGGCGAGACUUUGCGAGGGGCCUCGGGGCGCCAAAAAUAAGCCGCGGGCAAAGCCGCGCCCAAAAAUAAGCGCCCGAAGGUCGUGGUGCCAAAACCCCCCAGCGGAAAAAUGGCCAAAAAACGGGUGGGCUAUAGCCUUGGUGGGGGGCGUGGGCGAAGUUCGUCCGCCGGACUCGGAAUGGGGCGAGACUUUGCGAGGGGCGUCGGGGUGCCCCCAGGAAGUCGCGGGCACAGCCGCGUCCAAAAAUAAGCGCCCGAAGGUCGUGGUGCCAAAACCCCCCAGCGGAAAAAUGGCCAAAAAACGGGUGGGCUAUAGCCUUGGUGGGGGGCGCGGGCGAAGUUCGUCCGCCGGACUCGGAAUGGGGCGAGACUUUGCGAGGGGACUCGGGGUGCACGCGGGAAGUUGCGGGCACAGCCGCGUCCAAAAAUAAGCGCCCGAAGGUCGUGGUGCCAAAACCCCCCAGCGGAAAAAUGGCCAAAAAACGGGUGGGCUAUAGCCUUGGUGGGGGGCGCGGGCGAAGUUCGUCCGCCGGACUCGGAAUGGGGCGAGACUUUGCGAGGGGCCUCGGGGUGCCAAAAAUAAGCCGCGGGCAAAGCCGCGCCCAAAAAUAAGCGCCCGAAGGUCGUGGUGCGAAAACCCCCCAGCGGAAAAAUGGCCAAAAAACGGGUGGGCUAUAGCCUUGGUGGGGGGCGCGGGCGAAGUUCGUCCGCCGGACUCGGAAUGGGGCGAGACUUUGCGAGGGGCCUCGGGGUGCCCGCGGGAAGUCGCGGGCACAGCCGCGUCCAAAAAUAAGCGCCCGAAGGUCGUGGUGCCAAAACCCCCAGCGGAAAAAUGGCCAAAAAACGGUUGGCUAUAGCCUUGGUGGGGGGCGCGGGCGAAGUUCGUCCGCCAGACUCGGAAUGGGGCGAGACUUUGCGAGGGGCCUCGGGGUGCCAAAAAUAAGGCGCGGGCAAAGCCGCGCCCAAAAAUAAGCGCCCAAAGGUCGUGUUGCCAAAACCCCCCAGCGGAAAAAUGGCCAAAAAACGGGUGGGCUAUAGCCUUGGUGGUGGGCGCGGGCGAAGUUCGUCCGCCGGACUCGGAAUGGGGCGAGACUUUGCGAGGGGCCUCGGGGUGCCCGCGGGAAGUCGCGGGGCUACCGUAACAAGUUUCCUAAAUGUAGAACUGGUGGUGCCAAACCCCCCAGCGGAAAAAUGGCCAAAAAACGGGUGGGCUAUAGCCUUGGUGGGGGGCCGCGGGCGAAGUUCGUCCGCCGGACUCGGAGUGGGGCGAGACUUUGCGAGGGGCCUCGGGGUGCCCGCGGGAAGUCGCGGGCACAGCCGCGUCCAAAAAUAAGCGCCCGAAGGUCGUGGUGCCAAAACCCCCAGCGGAAAAAUGGCCAAAAAACGGUUGGCUAUAGCCUUGGUGGGGGGCGCGGGCGAAGUUCGUCCGCCAGACUCGGAAUGGGGCGAGACUUUGCGAGGGUCCUUGGGGUGCCAAAAAUAAGCCGCGGGCAAAGCCGCGCCCAAAAAUAAGUGCCCGAAGGUCGUGGUGCCAAAACCCCCCAGCGGAAAAAUGGCCAAAAAACGGGUGGGCUAUAGCCUUGGUGGGGGGCGCGGGCGAAGUUUGUCCGCCGGACUCGAAAUGGGGCGAGACUUUGCGAGGGGCCUCGGGGCACCAAAAAUAAGGCGCGGGCAAAGCCGCGCCCAAAAAUAAGCGCCCGAAGGUCGUGAUGCCAAAACCCCCCAGCAGAAAAAUGGCCAAAAAACGGGUGGGCUAUAGCCUUGGUGGGGGGCGCGGGCGUAGUUCGUCCGCCGGACUCGGAAUGGGGCGAGACUUUGCGCGGAGCCUCGGGUCGCCAAAAAUAAGCCGCGGGCAAAGCUGCGCCCAAAAAUAAGCGCCCGAAGGUCGUGGUGCCAAAACCCCCCAGCGCAAAAAUGUCCAAAAAACGGGUGGGCUAUAGCCUUGGUGGGGGGCGCGGGCGAAGUUCGUCCGCCGGACUCGGAAUGGGGCGAGACUUUGCGCGGAGCCUCGGGGCGCCAAAAAUAAGCCGCGGGCAAAGCCGCGCCCAAAAAUAAGCGUCCGAAGGUCGUGGUGCCAAAACCCCCCAGCGGAAAAAUGGCCAAAAAACGGGUGGGCUAUAGCCUUGGUGGGGGGCGCGGGCGAAGUUCGUCCGCCGGACUCGGAAUGGGGCGAGACUUUGCGAGGGGCCUCGGGGUGCCCCCAGGAAGUCGCGGGCACAGCCGCGUCCAAAAAUAAGCGCCCGAAGGUCGUGGUGCCAAAACCCCCCAGCGGAAAAAUGGCCAAAAAACGGGUGGGCUAUAGCCUUGGUGGGGGGCGCGGGCGAAGUUCGUCCGCUGGACUCGGAAUGGGGCGAGACUUUGCGAGGGGCCUCGGGGUGCCAAAACUAAGCCGCGGGCAAAGCCGCGCCCAAAAAUAAGCGCCCGAUGGUCCUGGUGCCAAAACCCCCCAGCGGAAAAAUGGCCAAAAAACGGGUGGGCUAUAGCCUUGGUGGGGGGCGCGGGUGAAGUUCGUCUGCUGGACUCGGAAUGGGACGAGACUUUGCGAGGGGCCUCGGGGUGCCCGCGGGAAGUCGCGGGCACAGCCACAUCCAGAAAUAAGCGCCCGAAGGUCGUGGUGCCAAAACCCCCCAGCGGAAAAAUGGCCAAAAAACGGGUGGGCUAUAGCCUUGGUGGGGGGCGCGGGCGAAGUUCGUCCGCCGGACUCGGAAUGGGGCGAGACUUUGCGAGGGGACUCGGGGUGCACGCGGGAAGUUGCGGGCACAGCCGCGUCCAAAAAUAAGCGCCCGAAGGUCGUGGUGCCAAAACCCCCCAGCGGAAAAAUGGCCAAAAAACGGGUGGGCUAUAGCCUUGGUGGGGGGCGCGGGCGAAGUUCGUCCGCCGGACUUGGAAUGGGGCGAGACUUUGCGAGGGGCCUCGGGGUGCCAAAAAUAAGCCGCGGGCAAAGCCGCGCCCAAAAAUAAGCGCCCGAAGGUCGUGGUGCGAAAACCCCCCAGCGGAAAAAUGGCCAAAAAACGGGUGGGCUAUAGCCUUGGUGGGGGGCGCGGGCGAAGUUCGUCCGCCGGACUCGGAAUGGGGCGGGACUUUGCGAGGGGCCUCGGGGUGCCAAAAAUAAGCCGCGGGCAAAGCCGCGCCCGAAGGUCGUGGUGCGAAAACCCCCCAGCGGAAAAAUGGCCAAAAAACGGGUGGGCUAUAGCCUUGGUGGGGGGCGCGGGCGAAGUUCGUCCGCCGGACUCGGAAUGGGGCGAGACUUUGCGAGGGGACUCGGGGUGCCCGCGGGAAGUUGCGGGCACAGCCGCGUCCAAAAAUAAGCGCCCGAAGGUCGUGGUGCCAAAACCCCCCAGCGGAAAAAUGGCCAAAAAACGGGUGGGCUAUAGCCUUGGUGGGGGGCGCGGGCGAAGUUCGUCCGCCGGACUCGGAAUGGGGCGAGACUUUGCGAGGGGCCUCGGGGUGCCCCCAGGAAGUCGCGGGCACAGCCGCGUCCAAAAAUAAGCGCCCGAAGGUCGUGGUGCCAAAACCCGCCAGCGGAAAAAUGGCCAAAAAACGGGUGGGCUAUAGCCUUGGUGGGGGGCGCGGGCGAAGUUCGUCCGCCGGACUCGGAAUGGGGCGAGACUUUGCGAGGGGCCUCGGGGUGCCCGCGGGAAGUCGCGGGCACAGCCGCGUCCAAAAAUAAGCGCCCGAAGGUCAUGGUGCCAAAACCCCCAACGGAAAAAUGGCCAAAAAACGGGUUGGCUAUAGCCUUGGUGGGGGGCGCGGGCGAAGUUCGUCCGCCAGACUCGGAUGGGGCCGGGAUUUUGCGAGGGGCUUCGGGGUGCCAAAAAUAAGGCGCGGGCAAAGCCGCGCCCAAAAAUAAGCGCCCAAAGGUCGUGUUGCCAAAACCCCCCAGCGGAAAAAUGGCCAAAAAACGGGUGGGCUAUAGCCUUGGUGGGGGGCGCGGGCGAAGUUCGUCCGCCGGACUCGGAAUGGGGCGAGACUUUGCGAGGGGCCUUGGGGUGCCCGCGGGAAGUCGCGGGCACAGCCGCGUCCAAAAAUAAGCGCCCGAAGGUCGUGGUGCCAAAACCCCCCAGCGGAAAAAUGGCCAAAAAACGGGUGGGCUAUAGCCUUGGUGGGGGGCGCGGGCGAAGUUCGUCCGCCGGACUCGGAGUGGGGCGAGACUUUGCGAGGGGCCUCGGGGUGCCCGCGGGAAGUCGCGGGCACAGCCGCGUCCAAAAAUAAGCACCCGAAGGUCGUGGUGCCAAAACCCCCCAGCGGAAAAAUGGCCAAAAAACGGGUGGGCUAUAGCCUUGGUGGGGGGCGCGGGCGAAGUUCGUCCGCCGGACUUGGAAUGGGGCGAGACUUUGCGAGGGGCCUCGGGGUGCCCGCGGGAAGUCGCGGGCACAGCCGCGCCCAAAAAUAAGCACCCGAAGGUCGUGGUGCCAAAACCCCCCAGCGGAAAAAUGGCCAAAAAACGGGUGGGCUAUAGCCUUGGUGGGGGGCGCGGGCGAAGUUCGUCCGCCGGACUCGGAGUGGGGCGAGACUUUGCGAGGGGCCUCGGGGUGCCCGCGGGAAGUCGCGGGCACAGCCGCGUCCAAAAAUAAGCGCCCGAAGGUCGUGGUGCCAAAACCCCCAGCGGAAAAAUGGCCAAAAAACGGUUGGCUAUAGCCUUGGUGGGGGGCGCGGGCGAAGUUCGUCCGCCAGACUCGGAAUGGGGCGAGACUUUGCGAGGGUCCUUGGGGUGCCAAAAAUAAGCCGCGGGCAAAGCCGCGCCCAAAAAUAAGUGCCCGAAGGUCGUGGUGCCAAAACCCCCCAGCGGAAAAAUGGCCAAAAAACGGGUGGGCUAUAGCCUUGGUGGGGGGCGCGGGCGAAGUUUGUCCGCCGGACUCGAAAUGGGGCGAGACUUUGCGAGGGGCCUCGGGGCACCAAAAAUAAGGCGCGGGCAAAGCCGCGCCCAAAAAUAAGCGCCCGAAGGUCGUGGUGCCAAAACCCCCCAGCAGAAAAAUGGCCAAAAAACGGGUGGGCUAUAGCCUUGGUGGGGGGCGCGGGCGUAGUUCGUCCGCCGGACUCGGAAUGGGGCGAGACUUUGCGCGGAGCCUCGGGUCGCCAAAAAUAAGCCGCGGGCAAAGCUGCGCCCAAAAAUAAGCGCCCGAAGGUCGUGGUGCCAAAACCCCCCAGCGCAAAAAUGUCCAAAAAACGGGUGGGCUAUAGCCUUGGUGGGGGGCGCGGGCGAAGUUCGUCCGCCGGACUCGGAAUGGGGCGAGACUUUGCGAGGGGACUCGGGGUGCCCGCGGGAAGUUGCGGGCACAGCCGCGUCCAAAAAUAAGCGCCCGAAGGUCGUGGUGCCAAAACCCCCCAGCGGAAAAAUGGCCAAAAAACGGGUGGGCUAUAGCCUUGGUGGGGGGCGCGGGCGAAGUUCGUCCGCCGGACUCGGAAUGGGGCGAGACUUUGCGAGGGGCCUCGGGGUGCCCCCAGGAAGUCGCGGGCACAGCCGCGUCCAAAAAUAAGCGCCCGAAGGUCGUGGUGCCAAAACCCGCCAGCGGAAAAAUGGCCAAAAAACGGGUGGGCUAUAGCCUUGGUGGGGGGCGCGGGCGAAGUUCGUCCGCCGGACUCGGAAUGGGGCGAGACUUUGCGAGGGGCCUCGGGGUGCCCGCGGGAAGUCGCGGGCACAGCCGCGUCCAAAAAUAAGCGCCCGAAGGUCGUGGUGCCAAAACCCCCAGCGGAAAAAUGGCCAAAAAACGGUUGGCUAUAGCCUUGGUGGGGGGCGCGGGCGAAGUUCGUCCGCCAGACUCGGAAUGGGGCGAGACUUUGCGAGGGGCGUUGGGGUGCCAAAAAUAAGCCGCGGGCAAAGCCGCGCCCAAAAAUAAGUGCCCGAAGGUCGUGGUGCCAAAACCCCCCAGCGGAAAAAUGGCCAAAAAACGGGUGGGCUAUAGCCUUGGUGGGGGGCGCGGGCGAAGUUUGUCCGCUGGACUCGAAAUGGGGCGAGACUUUGCGAGGGGCCUCGGGGCACCAAAAAUAAGGCGCGGGCAAAGCCGCGCCCAAAAAUAAGCGCCCGAAGGUCGUGGUGCCAAAACCCCCCAGCAGAAAAAUGGCCAAAAAACGGGUGGGCUAUAGCCUUGGUGGGGGGCGCGGGCGUAGUUCGUCCGCCGGACUCGGAAUGGGGCGAGACUUUGCGAGGAGCCUCGGGUCGCCAAAAAUAAGCCGCGGGCAAAGCUGCGCCCAAAAAUAAGCGCCCGAAGGUCGUGGUGCCAAAACCCCCCAGCGCAAAAAUGUCCAAAAAACGGGUGGGCUAUAGCCUUGGUGGGGGGCGCGGGCGAAGUUCGUCCGCCGGACUCGGAAUGGGGCGAGACUUUGCGCGGAGCCUCGGGGCGCCAAAAAUAAGCCGCGGGCAAAGCCGCGCCCAAAAAUAAGCGUCCGAAGGUCGUGGUGCCAAAACCCCCCAGCGGAAAAAUGGCCAAAAAACGGGUGGGCUAUAGCCUUGGUGGGGGGCGCGGGCGAAGUUCGUCCGCCGGACUCGGAAUGGGGCGAGACUUUGCGAGGGGCCUCGGGGUGCCCCCAGGAAGUCGCGGGCACAGGCGCGUCCAAAAAUAAGCGCCCGAAGGUCGUGGUGCCAAAACCCCCCAGCGGAAAAAUGGCCAAAAAACGGGUGGGCUAUAGCCUUGGUGGGGGGCGCGGGCGAAGUUCGUCCGCUGGACUCGGAAUGGGGCGAGACUUUGCGAGGGGCCUCGGGGUGCCAAAACUAAGCCGCGGGCAAAGCCGCGCCCAAAAAUAAGCGCCCGAUGGUCCUGGUGCCAAAACCCCCCAGCGGAAAAAUGGCCAAAAAACGGGUGGGCUAUAGCCUUGGUGGGGGGCGCGGGUGAAGUUCGUCUGCUGGACUCGGAAUGGGACGAGACUUUGCGAGGGGCCUCGGGGUGCCCGCGGGAAGUCGCGGGCACAGCCACAUCCAGAAAUAAGCGCCCGAAGGUCGUGGUGCCAAAACCCCCCAGCGGAAAAAUGGCCAAAAAACGGGUGGGCUAUAGCCUUGGUGGGGGGCGCGGGCGAAGUUCGUCCGCCGGACUCGGAAUGGGGCGAGACUUUGCGAGGGGCCUCGGGGUGCCAAAAAUAAGCCGCGACCAAAGCCGCGCCCAAAAAUAAGCGCCCGAAGGUCGUGGUGCGAAAACCCCCCAGCGGAAAAAUGGCCAAAAAACGGGUGGGCUAUAGCCUUGGUGGGGGGCGCGGGCGAAGUUCGUCCGCCGGACUCGGAAUGGGGCGAGACUUUGCGAGGGGACUCGGGGUGCACGCGGGAAGUUGCGGGCACAGCCGCGUCCAAAAAUAAGCGCCCGAAGGUCGUGGUGCCAAAACCCCCCAGCGGAAAAAUGGCCAAAAAACCGGUGGGCUAUAGCCUUGGUGGGGGGCGCGGGCGAAGUUCGUCCGCCGGACUUGGAAUGGGGCGAGACUUUGCGAGGGGCCUCGGGGUGCCCCCAGGAAGUCGCGGGCACAGCCGCGUCCAAAAAUAAGCGCCCGAAGGUCGUGGUGCCAAAACCCCCCAGCGGAAAAAUGGCCAAAAAACGGGUGAGCGAUAGCCUUGGUGGGGGGCGCGGGCGAAGUUCGUCCGCUGGACUCGGAAUGGGGCGAGACUUUGCGAGGGGCCUCGGGGUGCCAAAAAUAAGCCGCGGGCAAAGCCGCGCCCAAAAAUAAGCGCCCGAAGGUCGUGGUGCCAAAACCCCCCAGCGGAAAAAUGGCCAAAAAACGGGUGGGCUAUCAGCCUUGGUGGGGGGCGCGGGCGAAGUUCGUCCGCCGGACUUGGAAUGGGGCGAGACUUUGCGAGGGGACUCGGGGUGCCCGCGGGAAGUUGCGGGCACAGCCGCGUCCAAAAAUAAGCGCCCGAAGGUCGUGCUGCCAAAACCCCCGAGCGGAAAAAUGGCCAAAAAACGGGUGGGCUAUAGCCUUGGUGGGGGGCGCGGGCGAAGUUCGUCCGCCGGACUCGGAAUGGGGCGAGACUUUGCGAGGGGCCUCGGGGUGCCCGCGGGAAGUCGCGGGCACAGCCGCAUCCAAAAAUAAGCGCCCGAAGGUCGUGGUGCCAAAACCCCCCAGCGGAAAAAUGGCCAAAAAACAGGUGGGCUAUAGCCUUGGUGGGGGGCGCGGGCGAAGUUCGUCCGCCGGACUCGGAAUGGGGCGAGACUUUGCGAGGUGCCUCGGGGUGCCAAAAAUAACCCGCGGGCAAAGCCGCGCCCGAAGGUCGUGGUGCCAAAACCCCCCAGCGGAAAAAUGGCCAAAAAACGGGUGGGCUAUAGCCUUGGUGAAGGUCGCGGGCGAAGUUCGUCCGCCGGACUCGGAAUGGGGCGAGACUUAGCGCGGGGCCUCGGGGCGCCAAAAAUAAGCCGCGGGCAAAGCCGCGCCCAAAAAUAAGCGCCCAAAGGUCGUGGUGCCAAAACCCCCCAGCGGAAAAAUGGCCAAAAAACGGGUGGGCUAUAUAGCCUUGGUGGGGGGCGCGGGCGAAGUUCGUCCGCCGGACUCGGAAUGGGGCGAGACUCUGCGAGGGGCCUCGGGGUGCCCGUGGGAAGUCGCGGGCGCAGCCGCGUCCAAAAAUAAGCGCCCGAAGGUCGUGGUGCCAAAACCCCCCAGCGGAAAAAUGGCCAAAAAACGGGUGGGCUAUAGCCUUGGUGGGGGGCGCGGGCGAAGUUCGUCCGCCGGACUCGGAAUGGGGCGAGCCUAUGCGAGGGGCCUCGGGGUACCAAAAAUAAUCCGUGGGCAAAGCCGCGCCCAAAAAUUAGCACCCGAAGGUCGUGGUGCCAAAACCCCCCAGCGGAAAAAUGGCCAAAAUACGGGUGGGCUAUAGCCUUGGUGGGGGGCGCGGGCGAAGUUCGUCCGCCGGACUCGGAAUGGGGCGAGACUUUGCCAGGGGCCUCGGGGUGCCCGCGGGAAGUCGCGGGCACAGCCGCGCCAAAAAAUAAGCGCCCGAAGGUCGUGGUGCCAAAACCCACCAGCGGAAAAAUGGCCAAAAAACGGGUGGGCUAUAGCCUUGGUGGGGAGCGCGGGCGAAGUUCGUCCGCCGGACUCGGAAUGGGGCGAGAAUUUGCGAGGGGCCUCGGGGUGCCAAAAAUAAGCCGCGGGUAAAGCCGCGCCCAAAAAUAAGCGCCCGAAGGUCGUGGUGCCAAAACCCCCCAGCGGAAAAAUGGCCAAAAAACGGGUGGGCUAUAGCCUUGGUGGGGGCGCGGGCGAAGUUCGUCCGCCGGACUCGGCAUGGGGCGAGACUUUGCACAGGGCCUCGGGGCGCCAUAAAUAAGCCGCGGGCAAAGCCGCGCCCAAAAAUAAGCGCCCGAAGGUCGUGGUGCCAAAACCCCCCAGCGGAAAAAUGGCCAAAAAACGGGUGGGCUAUAGCCUUGGUGGGGGGCGCGGGCGAAGUUCGUCCGCCGGACUCGGAAUGGGCCGAGACUUAUCGAGGUGCCUCGGGGUGCCAAAAAUAAGCCGCGGGCAAAGCCGCGCCCAAAAAUAAGCGCCCGAAGGUCGUGGUGCCAAAACCCCCCAGCGGAAAAAUGGCCAAAAAACGGGUGGGCUAUAGCCUUGGUGGGGGUCGCGGGCGAAGUUCGUCCGCCGGACUCGGAAUGGGGCGAGACUUAGCGCGGGGCCUCGGGGCGCCAAAAAUAAGCCGCGGGCAAAGCCGCGCCCAAAAAAAAGGGCCCGAAGGUCGUGGUGCCAAAACCCCCCAGCGGAAAAAUGGCCAAAAAACGGGUGGGCUAUAUAGCCUUGGUGGGGGGCGCGGGCGAAGUUCGUCCGCCGGACUCGGAAUGGGGCGAGACUUUGCGAGGGGCCUCGGGGUGCCCGCGGGAAGUCGCGGGCACAGCCGCGUCCAAAAAUAAGCGCCCGAAGGUCGUGGUGCCAAAACCCCCCAGCGGAAAAAUGGCCAAAAAACGGGUGGGCUAUAGCCUUGGUGGGGGGCGCGGGCGAAGUUCGUCCGCCGGACUCGGAAUGGGGCGAGCCAUUGCGAGGGGCCUCGGGGUACCAAAAAUAAGCGCCCGAAGGUCGUGCUGCCAAAACCCCCCAGCGGAAAAAUGGCCAAAAAACGGGUGGGCUAUAGCCUUGGUGGGGGGCGCGGGCGAAGUACGUCCGCCGGACUCGGAAUGGGGCGAGACUUUGCCAGGGGCCUCGGGGUGCCCGCGGGAAGUCGCGGGCAUAGCCGCGCCAAAAAAUAAGCGCCCGAAGGUCGUGGUGCCAAAACCCCCCAGCGGAAAAAUGGCCAAAAAACGGGUGGGCUAUAGCCUUGGUGGGGGGCGCGGGCGAAGUUCGUCCGCCGGACUCGGAAUGGGGCGAGAAUUUGCGAGGGGCCUCGGGGUGCCAAAAAUAAGCCGCGGGUAAAGCCGCGCCCUAAAAUAAGCGCCCGAAGGUCGUGGUCCAAAAACCCCCCAGCGGAAAAAUGGCCAAAAAACGGGUGGGCUAUAGCCUUGGUGGGGGGCAAGGGCGAAGUUCGUCUGCCGGACUUGGAAUGGGGCGAGACUUUGCGAGGGGACUCGGGGUGCCAAAAAUAAGCCGCGGGCAAUGCCGCGCCCAAAAAUAAGCGCCCGAAGGUCGUGGUGCCAAAAACCCCCAGCGGAAAAAUGGCCAAAAAACGGGUGGGCUAUAGCCUUGGUGGGGGGCAAGGGCGAAGUUCGUCUGCCGGACUUGGAAUGGGGCGAGACUUUGCGAGGGGCCUCGGGGUGCCAAAAAUAAGCCGCGGGCAAAGCCGCGCCCAAAAAUAAGCGCCCAAAGGUCGUGGUGCCAAAACCCCCCAGCGGAAAAAUGGCCAAAAAAUGGGUGGGCUAUAGCCUUGGUGGGGGGCGCGGGCGAAGUUCGUCCGCCGGACUCGGAAUGGGACGAGACAUUACGAGGGGCCUCGGGGCACCAAAAAUAAGCCGUGGGCAAUGCCGCGCCCAAAAAUAAGCGCCCGAAGGUCGUGGUGCCAAAACCCCCCAGCGGAAAAAUGGCCAAAAAACGGGUGGGCUAUAGCCUUGGUGGGGGGCGCGGGCGAAGUUCGUCCGCCGGACUCGGCAUGGGGCGAGACUUUGCACAGGGCCUCGGGGCGCCAAAAAUAAGCCGCGGGCAAAGCCGCGCCCAAAAAAAAGGGCCCGAAGGUCGUGGUGCCAAAACCCCCCAGCGGAAAAAUGGCCAAAAAACGGGUGGGCUAUAGCCUUGGUGGGGGGCGCGGGCGAAGUUCGUCCGCCGGACUCGGAAUGGGGCGAGAUUUUGCGAGGGGCCUCGGGGUGCCCGCGGGAAGUUGCGGGCACAGCCGCGUCCAAAAAUAAGCACCCGAAGGUCGUGGUGCAAAAACCCCCCAGCGGAAAAAUGGCCAAAAAACGGGUGGGCUAUAGCCUUGGUGGGGGGCGCGGGCGAAGUUCGUCCGCCGGACUCGGAAUGGGGCGAGACUUUGCGAGGGGCCUCGGGGUGCCCGUGGGAAGUCGCGGGCACAGCCGCAUCCAAAAAUAAGCGCCCGAAGGUCGUGGUGCCAAAACCCCCCAGCGGAAAAAUGGCCAAAAAACGGGUGGGCUAUAGCCUUGGUGGGGGGCGCGGGCGAAGUUCGUCCGCCGGACUCGGAAUGGGGCGAGACUUUGCGAGGGGCCUCGGGGUGCCAAAAAUAAGCCGCGGGCAAAGCCGCGCCCAAAAAUAAGCGCCCGAAGGUCGUGGUGCCAAAACCCCCCAGCGGAAAAAUGGCCAAAAAACGGGUGGGCUAUAGCCUUGGUGGGGGGCAAGGGCGAAGUUCGUCUGCCGGACUUGGAAUGGGGCGAGACUUUGCGAGGGGACUCGGGGUGCCAAAAAUAAGCCCGCGGGCAAAGCCGCGCCCAAAAAUAAGCGCCCAAAGGUCGUGGUGCCAAAACCCCCCCAGCGGAAAAAUGGCCAAAAAAACGGGUGGGCUAUAGCCUUGGUGGGGGGCAAGGGCGAAGUUCGUCUGCCGGACUUGGAAUGGGGCGAGACUUUGCGAGGGGCCUCGGGGUGCCAAAAAUAAGCCGCGGGCAAAGCCGCGCCCAAAAAUAAGCGCCCGAAGGUCGUGGUGCCAAAACCCCCCAGCGGAAAAAUGGCCAAAAAACGGGUGGGCUAUAGCCUUGGUGGGGGUCGCGGGCGAAGUUCGUCCGCCGGACUCGGAAUGGGGCGAGACUUAGCGCGGGGCCUCGGGGCGCCAAAAAUAAGCCGCGGGCAAAGCCGCGCCCAAAAAAAAGGGCCCGAAGGUCGUGGUGCCAAAACCCCCCAGCGGAAAAAUGGCCAAAAAACGGGUGGGCUAUAUAGCCUUGGUGGGGGGCGCGGGCGAAGUUCGUCCGCCGGACUCGGAAUGGGGCGAGACUUUGCGAGGGGCCUCGGGGUGCCCGCGGGAAGUCGCGGGCACAGCCGCGUCCAAAAAUAAGCGCCCGAAGGUCGUGGUGCCAAAACCCCCCAGCGGAAAAAUGGCCAAAAAACGGGUGGGCUAUAGCCUUGGUGGGGGGCGCGGGCGAAGUUCGUCCGCCGGACUCGGAAUGGGGCGAGCCAUUGCGAGGGGCCUCGGGGUACCAAAAAUAAGCCGCGGGCAAAGCCGCGCCCAAAAAUAAGCGCCCGAAGGUCGUGCUGCCAAAACCCCCCAGCGGAAAAAUGGCCAAAAAACGGGUGGGCUAUAGCCUUGGUGGGGGGCGCGGGCGAAGUACGUCCGCCGGACUCGGAAUGGGGCGAGACUUUGCCAGGGGCCUCGGGGUGCCCGCGGGAAGUCGCGGGCAUAGCCGCGCCANNNNNNNNNNNNNNNNNNNNNNNNNNNNNNNNNNNNNNNNNNNNNNNNNNNNNNNNNNNNNNNNNNNNNNNNNNNNNNNNNNNNNNNNNNNNNNNNNNNNNNNNNNNNNNNNNNNNNNNNNNNNNNNNNNNNNNNNNNNNNNNNNNNNNNNNNNNNNNNNNNNNNNNNNNNNNNNNNNNNNNNNNNNNNNNNNNNNNNNNNNNNNNNNNNNNNNNNNNNNNNNNNNNNNNNNNNNNNNNNNNNNNNNNNNNNNNNNNNNNNNNNNNNNNNNNNNNNNNNNNNNNNNNNNNNNNNNNNNNNNNNNNNNNNNNNNNNNNNNNNNNNNGGGGUGCCAAAAAUAAGCCGCGGGGCAAAGCCGCGCCCAAAAAUAAGCGCCCGAAAGGUCGUGGUGCCAAAACCCCCCAGCGGAAAAAUGGCCAAAAAACGGGUGGGCUAUAGCCUUGGUGGGGGGCAAGGGCGAAGUUCGUCUGCCGGACUUGGAAUGGGGCGAGACUAUGCGAGGGGCCUCGGGGUGCCAAAAAUAAGCCGCGGGCAAAGCCGCGCCCAAAAAUAAGCGCCCAAAGGUCGUGGUGCCAAAACCCCCCAGCGGAAAAAUGGCCAAAAAAUGGGUGGGCUAUAGCCUUGGUGGGGGGCGCGGGCGAAGUUCGUCCGCCGGACUCGGAAUGGGACGAGACAUUACGAGGGGCCUCGGGGCACCAAAAAUAAGCCGUGGGCAAUGCCGCGCCCAAAAAUAAGCGCCCGAAGGUCGUGGUGCCAAAACCCCCCAGCGGAAAAAUGGCCAAAAAACGGGUGGGCUAUAGCCUUGGUGGGGGGCGCGGGCGAAGUUCGUCCGCCGGACUCGGAAUGGGGCGAGACUUUGCGCGGGGCCUCGGGGUGCCAAAAAUAAGCCGCGGGCAAAGCCACGCCCAAAAAUAAGCGCCCGACGGUCGUGGUGCCAAAACCCCCCAGCGGAAAACUGGCCAAAAAACGGGUGGGCUAUAGCCUUGGUGGGGGGCGCGGGCGAAGUUCGUCCGCCGGACUCGGAAUGGGGCGAGACUUUGUGAGGGGCCUCGGGGCACCAAAAAUAAGCCGCGGGCAAAGCCGCGCCCAAAAAUAAGCGCCCGAAGGUCGUGGUGCCAAAACCCCCCAGCGAAAAAAUGGCCAAAAAACGGGUGGGCUAUAGCCUUGGUGAGGGACGCGGGUGAAGUUCGUCCGCCGGACUCGGCUUNNNNNNNNNNNNNNNNNNNNNNNNNNNNNNNNNNNNNNNNNNNNNNNNNNNNNNNNNNNNNNNNNNNNNNNNNNNNNNNNNNNNNNNNNNNNNNNNNNNNNNNNNNNNNNNNNNNNNNNNNNNNNNNNNNNNNNNNNNNNNNNNNNNNNNNNNNNNNNNNNNNNNNNNNNNNNNNNNNNNNNNNGGGGCGAGACUUUGCGAGGGGCCUCGGGGUGCCCACGGGAAGUCGCGGGCACAGCCGCGUCCAAAAAUAAGCGCCCGAAGGUCGCUGUGCCAAAACCCCCCAGCGGAAAAAUGGCCAAAAAACGGGUGGGCUAUAGCCUUGGUGGGGGGCGCGGGCGAAGUUCGUCCGCCGGACUCGGAAUGGGG